UUAUGUUUUCUUGUGCAAACAAAUAUAUUAGAUAUGUGACGUACAAAUACAUAAGAUUAAAGACUAUUCAGUGUACUCUUCCACUUCUUUCCUGGUUUCAUUCAGAAAUUUGGAGAACUUAAGAUUUUAUAAGUCAAUGAGACACUUGGCAGCUAAAGUUUCCCGGUUACAUUCAAAAAAAUUUACAAGUCAAUGAGACACUUGACAACUAAAGUUUCCUGGUUUCAUUCAAAAAUUUGGAGAACUCAAGAUUUUACGAGUCAACGAGACACUUGACAGCUAAAGAAAGGUUAGGGCAAUAUUGACUUUUUAAAAAGGUUUAAUUAGUAUUUUGGUCCCUUAAAGAUAUUUUAGGUUUCACAAUGGUCCUUAAAGAAAAAAAGGUCUGGAUUGGUACCUUAAAGACACAUCAGUUUCUCAAUUGGUCCUUUCUGUCAUUUUUUUACAAAAAACGUUAGUUUUAGUUGACUGAAUUGUGGAUGUCAUUAAGUGUAAGUGGUCCACCAAAAACCUUAUUAAUUUUUAAAAUUUUAACCAUUGAGAUUUUUUGUUAUAUUUGAAGUUAAAAUUUAACGGAAAAGAUCAAUAUGACAAACAUAUAUUUCUUUAAGGGACCAAUCCGGGUCUUUUUUUCUUUAAGGGACCAAUCCAGACAUUUUUUUCUUUAAAUGACCAUUGUGAAACCUAAAAUGUCUUUAAGGGACCAAUAGACUAAUUAAGCCUUUUAAAAACAUGUUUUUCUUAGAUUAACCGUAUAGAUUAGUAUAGNNNNNNNNNNNNNNNNNNNNNNNNNNNNNNNNNNNNNNNNNNNNNNNNNNNNNNNNNNNNNNNNNNNNNNNNNNNNNNNNNNNNNNAUCCUCUUCUUUUUUUCAUCUUUUCGUUGGAAAUUUCCACAUUCCUCAUUGUUCCAUUCCAAUUGUAAAUCCAAAUUUCUUGAUCUUAUAAUGUUAAAGAUAUAGUUAGUUAGUAAUUAGGAGGAUUAGUUAGUAGUUUGUUGAUGCCUAUAUAUAGGCUUUGAUGUAAUCUUUUAGUUUCACUUUUCUCAUUUGUAAUAUUUUUCCUUCAUCAAUAUUAUACACUUUUGACCUAUUUUCUCUCCUUCUCCCAUGGAUGCCUUGUUUCUUAAGUAUCAGAGCAAAUUUGGUAUCCACCUUAAAGAAAUUUUCCUUUCCAUUUUCUCGAGAAAAUUCAAUUUUCUCAUAUCUCUUUAUUUUCUUUCUCCCAAUUUCUUUCACAGAUUCAAUUUCCCCUAUCCGUUUAUUUCACCGAUUCAUCAUCUUCUUCAAUUUCGUUUUCGAUUGCAUUCUUGAUAUUGCUUCGCUCAUAUCUGUGUGAUGUUUGCAGAUUGAUUCAUUCUUGUUCAUCAUUUUGUGCUAGCUUUCCCAAUUUCUAGGGUUCAGAUUGGAAUUCUUUGGCUAUGCCUGUUUCAAUUUCUUGUUCGAGGCAGUUACAAAUUAUAGGUUUUACAAUUCGAUUUCAAUUCCUUGAUUUGACUUCGAAUCACCGUUUCUGUUUCAUUCUUAGACUCUGUUUUUCCUUCACUUGAUCGGAAUCAUCUUCUUCAAGUUCCGAUCCCGAUUUUGUUUCGAACUGACAUUCAUCUACUGUUGAUUCUUGAUAGUGACAAAGUCACAAAUUUUUGUUGCUAUAUAUGUUACUUCUGAAAUUUGAACGGGUUUGGAGGAUCGUCGUUUUGGCUCUGUGAGUUGGUGCAGAGAAUUGUUGAUUCAUUGCUCUAUCGUAUCUGCUGUGUUAUCUCUGAAGAUGGAUUUCCAUGGUUAUGCUUUUGGUUCUUCCUUUUCUUUGGAUUUGAAGCUUAAU
This 1821-nucleotide long non-coding RNA is filed under the name Trifolium pratense (red clover). Its description in RNAcentral is "long non-coding RNA (TPRA_LNC003206)". Lineage: Eukaryota; Viridiplantae; Streptophyta; Magnoliopsida; Fabales; Fabaceae. The record is from RNAcentral.